GACUGCUUUGAAGGUAGUGAGUUAUUUCAAUUAUUGUUCAGUUAGAAUGCCUUGUUACUACUCUUUCCUUCCUUCUCACAACUGCACCUGACUAGUCUUAA
Molecule: unclassified non-coding RNA, 101 nt
Organism: Otolemur garnettii (small-eared galago)
Lineage: Eukaryota; Metazoa; Chordata; Mammalia; Primates; Galagidae
Rfam family: Y RNA
About the family: Y RNAs are components of the Ro ribonucleoprotein particle (Ro RNP), in association with Ro60 and La proteins. The Y RNAs and Ro60 and La proteins are well conserved, but the function of the Ro RNP is not known.
Source: Ensembl